RNAcentral lists this ribosomal RNA (498 nucleotides) under uncultured bacterium. RNAcentral describes it as "partial 16S ribosomal RNA". It matches the Rfam family "Bacterial small subunit ribosomal RNA", at positions 30 to 523 of the family's 1533-position model. The record is from RNAcentral.
AUUGAACGCUGGCGGCAUGCUUUACACAUGCGAGUCGAACGGCAGCGCGGGGCAACCUGGCGGCGAGUGGCGAACGGGUGAGUAAUAUAUCGGAGCGUACCCAAGAGUGGGGGAUAACGUAGCGAAAGUUACGCUAAUACCGCAUACGAUCUAAGGCGGAAAGUGGGGGAUCGCAAGACCUCAUGCUCCUGGAGCGGCCGAUAUCUGAUUAGAUAGUUGGUGAGGUAAAGGCUCACCAAGGCUACGAUCAGUAGCUGGUCUGAGAGGACGACCAGCCACACUGGAACUGAGACACGGUCCAGACUCCUACGGGAGGCAGCAGUGGGGAAUUUUGGACAAUGGGCGCAAGCCUGAUCCAGCAAUGCCGCGUGAGUGAAGAAGGCCUUCGGGUUGUAAAGCUCUUUUGUCAGGGAAGAAACGGUCUCAGCUAACAUCUGGGGCUAAUGACGGUACCUGAAGAAUAAGCACCGGCUAACUACGUGCCAGCAGCCGCGGUAA